GGGGAAUAUUGGGCAAUGGGCGCAAGCCUGACCCAGCAACGCCGCGUGAGGGAAGAAGGUCUUCGGAUUGUAAACCUCUGUCCUUGGGGACGAAAAAAAUGACGGUACCCAAGGAGGAAGCUCCGGCUAACUACGUGCCAGCAGCCGCGGUAAUACGUAGGGGACAAGCGUUGUCCGGAUUUACUGGGCGUAAAGGGCACGCAGGCGGUUUUUUAAGUCAGAUGUGAAAGGUACCGGCUCAACCGGUGACAUGCAUUUGAAACUGAAAGACUUGAGUAUUGGAGAGGCAAGUGGAAUUCCUAGUGUAGCGGUGAAAUGCGUAGAUAUUAGGAGGAACACCGGUGGCGAAGGCGGCUUGCUGGACAAAUACUGACGCUGAGGUGCGAAAGCGUGGGGAGCAAACA
Molecule: ribosomal RNA, 404 nt
Filed under: uncultured Acetobacterium sp.
Lineage: Bacteria; Bacillati; Bacillota; Clostridia; Eubacteriales; Eubacteriaceae
Description: bacterial SSU rRNA
Rfam family: Bacterial small subunit ribosomal RNA
Source: RNAcentral